This 254-nucleotide ribosomal RNA is filed under the name uncultured bacterium. RNAcentral describes it as "partial 16S ribosomal RNA". It matches the Rfam family "Bacterial small subunit ribosomal RNA", at positions 524 to 776 of the family's 1533-position model. The record is from RNAcentral.
UCCGUAGGGUGCGAGCGUUGUCCGGAAUUAUUGGGCGUAAAGAGCUCGUAGGCGGUCUGUCGCGUCGGUCGUGAAAACUUGGGGCUUAACCCUGAGCUUGCGGUCGAUACGGGCAUGACUGGAGUUCGGCAGGGGAGACUGGAAUUCCUGGUGUAGCGGUGAAAUGCGCAGAUAUCAGGAGGAACACCGGUGGCGAAGGCGGGUCUCUGGGCCGAUACUGACGCUGAGGAGCGAAAGCGUGGGGAGCGAACAGG